This 299-nucleotide ribosomal RNA is filed under the name uncultured bacterium. Its description in RNAcentral is "partial 16S ribosomal RNA". It matches the Rfam family "Bacterial small subunit ribosomal RNA", at positions 193 to 507 of the family's 1533-position model. The record is from RNAcentral.
UGGGGGUUGGAAAGUUUCGGCGGUUGGGGAUGGACUCGCGGCUUAUCAGCUUGUUGGUGGGGUAGUGGCUUACCAAGGCUUUGACGGGUAGCCGGCCUGAGAGGGUGACCGGCCACAUUGGGACUGAGAUACGGCCCAGACUCCUACGGGAGGCAGCAGUGGGGAAUAUUGCACAAUGGGCGGAAGCCUGAUGCAGCAACGCCGCGUGCGGGAUGACGGCCUUCGGGUUGUAAACCGCUUUCGCCUGUGACGAAGCGUGAGUGACGGUAAUGGGUAAAGAAGCACCGGCUAACUACGUG